This 157-nucleotide ribosomal RNA is filed under the name uncultured beta proteobacterium. RNAcentral's name for it is "partial 16S ribosomal RNA". It matches the Rfam family "Bacterial small subunit ribosomal RNA", at positions 355 to 504 of the family's 1533-position model. The record is from RNAcentral. Lineage: Bacteria; Pseudomonadati; Pseudomonadota; Betaproteobacteria.
UGGGGAAUUUUGGACAAUGGGCGAAAGCCUGAUCCAGCCAUUCCGCGUGCAGGAUGAAGGCCCUCGGGUUGUAAACUGCUUUUGUACAGAACGAAAAGGUUUCUACUAAUACUAGGAGCUCAUGACGGUACUGUAAGAAUAAGCACCGGCUAACUAC